Nomascus leucogenys (northern white-cheeked gibbon) is the source of this 285-nucleotide long non-coding RNA. RefSeq lists it as uncharacterized. The record is from RefSeq and is a predicted model, not a curated record. NCBI's taxonomy places the organism in Eukaryota, Metazoa, Chordata, Mammalia, Primates, Hylobatidae. The transcript is spliced from 2 exons.
CUUAAGAAAUAAAGUGGGUAUGAGUCCUACAACCACAAAGAACUGAAUUCUGCCAAGAAUCUGAAUGAGCUGCAGGAAGGACCCUGAACUCCAAGUAUGGGCACAGCCCAAUGGAUACCUUGAUGGCAGCCUCUUGAGACCUGAGCUGAGAAGCUGGCUGAGCCCUGCCUGGCCUUCUGACCUACAGGACUGAGCUCACACCAACAUGUUAAGCUGAUCUGUGUAAACCAGCACUAGGAUUUUUCCUCCUCUGAUACCUGGUUGUAAAAAACUCCAGCAUUAGGA